CGAGAGGUAGACGGAGAUGAGACCAAAGCAGAGGGAGUAAAGAGAUGAGGCUUGGAUUGGACUUAGAGAGGAGGGAACUGGUUUGGUGAGCACUGAGCAGACUAAGGCUAGGCGGCUGUGUGGAAACUGGAAAGGUCGUUCGUUUGUAUCCAGAGCGUAUGAGUGAGAGGCUAGGGUUAUGAACUUAUGAAUAUAUAUGUGUGUUAAUUUUUUUUUUAAGAGGGUAUUAAAUUAUUAAUAAGUAUUCUGCUAGG
This 254-nucleotide long non-coding RNA is filed under the name Prunus persica (peach). RNAcentral's name for it is "long non-coding RNA (PPER_LNC000455)". Lineage: Eukaryota; Viridiplantae; Streptophyta; Magnoliopsida; Rosales; Rosaceae. The record is from RNAcentral.